AAAAGACAGAACGUAAAGGUCAUUGAUAAAAAUGGGAACGUAAUUGGGCACGUGUAUAUCGAGCCCAAUGGUGAAAAAAUAUUCGUACCGGAAAGCAACGAGGUAAG
This is a non-coding RNA of Spodoptera litura, 107 nucleotides long. The record is from RefSeq and is a predicted model, not a curated record. Lineage: Eukaryota; Metazoa; Arthropoda; Insecta; Lepidoptera; Noctuidae.